CUUCGGGAUUUAGUGGCGGACGGGUGAGUAACACGUAAGAACCUGCCUCUAGGACGGGGACAACAGUUGGAAACGACUGCUAAACCCGGAUGAGCCGAAAGGUAAAAGAUUAAUCGCCUAGAGAGGGGCUUGCGUCUGAUUAGCUAGUUGGUGAGGUAAGAGCCCACCAAGGCGACGAUCAGUAGCUGGUCUGAGAGGAUGAUCAGCCACACUGGGACUGAGACACGGCCCAGACUCCUACGGGAGGCAGCAGUGGGGAAUUUUCCGCAAUGGGCGAAAGCCUGACGGAGCAAGACCGCGUGGGGGAGGAAGGUUCUUGGAUUGUCAACCCCUUUUCUCAGGGAAGAACACAAUGACGGUACCUGAGGAAAAAGCAUCGGCUAACUCCGUGCCAGCAGCCGCGGUAAUACGGGGGAUGCAAGCGUUAUCCGGAAUGAUUGGGCGUAAAGAGUCCGUAGGUAGUCAUCCAAGUCUGCUGUUAAAGAGCGAGGCUUAACCUCGUAAAGGCAGUGGAAACUGGAAGACUAGAGUGUAGUAGGGGCAGAGGGAAUUCCUGGUGUAGCGGUGAAAUGCGUAGAGAUCAGGAAGAACACCGGUGGCGAAGGCGCUCUGCUGGGCUAUAACUGACACUGAGGGACGAAAGCUAGGGGAGCGAAUGGGAUUAGAUACCCCAGUAGUCCUAGCGGUAAACGAUGGAAACUAGGUGUGGCCUGUAUCGACCCGGGCCGUGCCGAAGCAAACGCGUUAAGUUUCCCGCCUGGGGAGUACGCACGCAAGUGUGAAACUCAAAGGAAUUGACGGGGGCCCGCACAAGCGGUGGAGUAUGUGGUUUAAUUCGAUGCAACGCGAAGAACCUUACCAGGACUUGACAUCUCUGGAAUCUCCUUGAAAGGGGAGAGUGCCGUAAGGAACCAGAAGACAGGUGCUGCAUGGCUGUCGUCAGCUCGUGUCGUGAGAUGUUGGGUUAAGUCCCGCAACGAGCGCAACCCUCGUCGUUAGUUGCCAUCAUUAAGUUGGGAACUCUAGCGAGACUGCCGGUGACAAACCGGAGGAAGGUGAGGAUGACGUCAAGUCAGCAUGGCCCUUACGUCCUGGGCGACACACGUACUACAAUGCGAGGGACACAGAGCAGCCAACCCGCGAGGGAGAGCGAAUCUCAUAAACCCUGGCACAGUUCAGAUUGCAGGCUGCAACUCGCCUGCAUGAAGGAGGAAUCGCUAGUAAUCGCAGGUCAGCAUACUGCGGUGAAUCCGUUCCCGGGCCUUGUACACACCGCCCGUCACACCAUGGAAGUGAGCCACGCCCGAGUCAUUACUCUAACCCUUUCGGGGGAGGAGGGUGCCGAAGGCGGGGUUGAUGACUGGGGU
Molecule: ribosomal RNA, 1367 nt
Filed under: Planktothrix agardhii CCAP 1459/21
Lineage: Bacteria; Bacillati; Cyanobacteriota; Cyanophyceae; Oscillatoriales; Microcoleaceae
Description: 16S ribosomal RNA
Rfam family: Bacterial small subunit ribosomal RNA
Source: RNAcentral